Molecule: small RNA, 27 nt
Filed under: Bombyx mori (domestic silkworm)
Lineage: Eukaryota; Metazoa; Arthropoda; Insecta; Lepidoptera; Bombycidae
Description: ovarian small RNA-29470
Source: RNAcentral
UCUAGAAACAAAUACUGCAGGAAGGCC